GGAUGAGCCCGCGGCCUAUCAGCUAGUUGGUGGGGUGAUGGCCUACCAAGGCGACGACGGGUAGCCGGCCUGAGAGGGCGACCGGCCACACUGGGACUGAGACACGGCCCAGACUCCUACGGGAGGCAGCAGUGGGGAAUAUUGCACAAUGGGCGAAAGCCUGAUGCAGCGACGCCGCGUGAGGGAUGACGGCCUUCGGGUUGUAAACCUCUUUCAGCAGGGAAGAAGCGAAAGUGACGGUACCUGCAGAAGAAGCGCCGGCUAACUACGUGCCAGCAGCCGCGGCCG
This 288-nucleotide ribosomal RNA is filed under the name actinobacterium Dagang-11. RNAcentral describes it as "partial 16S ribosomal RNA". It matches the Rfam family "Bacterial small subunit ribosomal RNA", at positions 223 to 523 of the family's 1533-position model. Lineage: Bacteria; Bacillati; Actinomycetota; Actinomycetes. The record is from RNAcentral.